UUCAACAUCAGAUUCAAGCAUCUUCAAAACUUUACUCAUUGAAGGACGAUCAAAAGGCAGUAAUUGUAUACACCAAAAGGCUGUUAUUACCAUUUUCUUUACCAUUGCUUUUUCAUCGUCAGAAACAUCUCCCAACUCCAAGUCCUCUCCUUGAUCUAAUCGGUCAUAAAUCCAAGAUGGAAAAUAGAUCUGACUAGUGUGGUCAGCAAAUGCAUUCACAUUCUUUCUCCUUCCAACCAUUUCCAUCAGUAACAUUCCAAAACUAUAAACAUCAGCUUUGUAUGAGAUGCCUCCAAGAUUUUUGUAAACCAAUUCUGGAGCAAUAUAUCCUAUCGUUCCUCGUGCCGCAGUGAGAGAGACAAUGCUAUCAUCUACUGAAUACAAUUUAGCAAGACCAAAAUCGGAAACUUUUGGAUUAAAAUUCUCAUCAAGAAGAAUAUUGUGUGGCUUGAUAUCAAAAUGUAGAAUUUGCAUGUCACAUCCUUGAUGUAAGUAGUGAAUUCCUUGAGCCACCCCAAGUACAAUAUCAAACAUUUUUUUCCAGCCCAAAGUGUUCUUAUUUUCUUCUGUAAAUAUGAUUUUAUCUAAAGAUCCAUUAGACAUGAAGUCAUAUACUAGAGCUUGCUUUGAUCCCUCCACACAAAAUCCGAUAAGUUUUGCCACAUUAGCAUGAUGAAUUGUCCCAAUGGAAGCAACUUCGUUUAUGAAAUCUUGGCCAUUACCUUUUGAUUUGCCCAACAAUUUUAUUGCCACAUGAUGGCCGCUACGAAGCUUUCCUUUAAACACUGAGCCAUAACCCCCUUCACCUAAUUUAUCUUUAAAAUUUUUAGUCAUUUUUUUAAUUUCUUUAAAAGAAUACCUUAAUGGCACUAGAUUAUUUUGGCUUUUAAGGAACUCUUCGAUCAUAUCAUCCAUGGAUAAAUGUCUUCUCCUCCAUUUGUACGUGACAAAAGCAAGCAAACAAAUGAUCCCAGGAAAUGACCUCAAGAUAACUCCACCUUUAAAGAAAUACAAUGUAACAUGUUGAAAUUAAUCACAUAAUAUAUAACUUACAUUCUCAGAAAAAAGGAUAUAGUGUGAUAGUUUUAUGUUAACUAGUAUUUGAGAGAGUGGCAUAUUUCACUAGUCUAUGGACUUAACCGAGAGUAGUCUGAAUUAUAUGCAUUGUUUUUGUCAUUAGCAGGUAUAUCUCAACAAAUUAAAAUUCAGAAUUUGAAACACAAAAGGAGUAAAUCAUGCAAAGUGGAUGCCAAUUAUUCUAACCUCACACAUUCCAAUAGAUUUGACAGGGUCAUGACAUUCACCCAAAUUAACACAUUCGUAACCCCAUCCAAUUAGCAAAUUCUAAAGAAAGAACAUGAUUCUUAACCAUGAAGGAUACUCAACUGUUGUUUCUAUUCAUGCCAAAUAAAAUUGAAGAAGGACAAAUUAAAAAUAUAAUAACCUUCAAAUUUCAUAAAUGAAACAAAAUCUAGAACCACCAAAAGAUGCAAGAGAACCCCCCAAAAAACAGAUUUGAUAAAUUCAAGAGCUAACUUUGUUGAAUGUUUUAGCAAAAUGAAUAUCCACCAAACUUAUAACCUGUGAAAGUUCUAAACAAUACCAUUAUGAAAACAAGCUUAACUAAAACUCUAACAUCUUUCUUAACUUGACAAAAAAUUUCUUUCAUAUAGAAGAAGAUUGUAUUCUGCAUUCAAACUCCGUAAAGAGUGUCAUAGCUUUCUUAGUUUUGUAGUGAAAUUAAAUAUAAACUUGUAUAAUAUGAUAGGCUCCUUAUUCUUUUUUUCCCCCAGAAUAUAGCUAAUAUUUGUUCUCAACUAGUGCAAAUGCAAAUCUGCAAAUCUAAAAUUAAAUAUACCUGUUAUUAGCAAACAGAGACGAUAAGCUCCGAAGAAUCUGGAUUAUAUAUUCAACAAAUCAAAGUAAAAUUAAUAAAGGGGUGUAAAGAAAAAUUCCAAAUUUGUAUAAAAAAAUCAAUGGAAGGUAAUUUAAAAAAUUAUAUUAUGUUUUGUGGUAUAUACUCAAAAAAGAAAUACAACAAUUCUUUACAUAUGUUUGCUUGUAAAAAGUAUGCAACAUGUGUUACAGUAUAAGAGUUUUUAGGUAACUAAUAUGAUUUAAUAUAAUGAAAGGUGAGACAAAAUUUAUUCAAAUUAAUUAAUCCAAAAAGUAUAUAUUAUAGCAUUAAAAGAGUUUUUGCCAAAAAAAAUAAACUCAUCCACAAUGGUGGAAUAUUUACGUACUACCAACUAAAUUGAAAAUUCAUCAAAAAUAAAGACAAAAUAAAAAGAUAGACAUAAUCAAAUAUAAUUGUCCAAAAAGAAGACAAAACAGCAGAGAAAGCAGAGGCAGAUACUAAAUUAGAAAUGCUUUUAGUUCAUUUGAUUGUUAGAUGUUGAUCAAUUUUAGAUGCAAAAUCAUCAUACUUAAUUACCAUCAUAAUAUUUAAUUGUGAUAAAUGUAACAUAAAAUAAAACAAAACAAAAAGUAGAUGUUGUAACUAAAAAUUCCAGUAUGAUUCACACUCAAAAUGCAAACUUAAAUUAUUAAAGAAACUUACAUAUCUUUAAACCAAACUUUGUUUUUAUUGUAGUAGCUACUCUCGCUAUCCCAUCAACUCCAUUGGACCCAAAAACCCUCCAAUAAUUUUUUGUAUAUAUCCAGCGUAGACAUGCCUAUUAUAUUAUCAAUCAUAAUUGGAACCUCCGCUUUGAUAGUGCAAGCUUGAUUGAUAUCAGAUGGGUGGGUGUUUCCAUUUAAAAAAUAGAAAUAGAAAGUUGGAAGGGAAGAGGAGGUAUUAGAUUUAAUCGUACAACAAGAAGCCUCAAUAAAAAGUGAUGAUUUUAUAGGUUUCGUGCAAUUCAUAACAUAAAUAAUGUUAAAAUUAUAAGAAAAAUAAUAAUGAUAAUUAGAAAAAAGGUAAAAAUAUGGUUUAAAAUAAGGAUAAGUAUCAUAAUAAUCAGGAUAUACAGAAGUAAGAGGAAGGGAGUUGCAAUCAUCCGUGUCCAAGCUUGCAUCCACCAUUCGUAUUGUAUAAUUUUCGUAAAAGAUUUGUUGGACAGAUAAUUUCCCUCCUCUCCCAACCAAAGUGGUGCGAUUAUUGUUCUCACACUCAAGUUCCAUGACAGGAGAACCACAGUGGGGAGGUUGGUUUUUUAAUCGGAAUGGAAAACUGAUAUUCAAAUUCCCACAGAAAGUAGAGCCGCAGUCUUGGUUAAUAAGACUCCUAGCAAAACAAACAGCAGGAAAUAGAAUUACAAAUAAAGCAACAGAGGGCAUUAGGUGACCCAACAAUGGCAGUUUUGCUUUUAAUUUUGGCAUGCUAAAAUUUUGGGUAAGGAAGAAGAACAGUAAUGGGGGGUUAAUGAUUAAGUUUCUAACUAAACCAGGGAAAUAUAUAAGAAAGCUUCAGUGGGAGAAGAAGCAUUAAUGGGGACACAAGACUUUGACUACUCUUCAGCUUUAUUUGGGAUGAAUAUUUUAUUUUCAAUAAAUUGUUUACACCUUUUAUUCUUUAAUCUUUUUUCUGGGAAGAGCCAUGGUUAUCACAAGCAAAAGAAAAAGGAAUUUUAAUAUUAUUCAAAAAAAAAAAAAAUUGGACCAUAUGCUUGUAGUCGUAGAUCAACGUUUAUGACCUUAAUAAAUUCCAAUUACAAUGAGGAGGACCAAGACAAUGCAAGUCUUUAGUCUUCUUUGAAACACAAAAACAUUUGUUGCAUCUUUUGUAACUAUUUGUUGCAUCAUUCUAAAAAGUAAGUUAAUAGUUAGAAGUGUCAAGCAAGGCGACUCAAUGCCCAAUUGUAUAGAUUCUUUUUAUUUUAUUCCACGAAUACUUCACUACUUUUCAAAUAAUUACAUGAAUUUAAAAUAAAACAAAUUAAAUAUAAGAUAUAAUUUCUAUUUAUUUAAGUUUAAAUUCAAAACUAAAUUCUAUUUCUAAAUUUUAAUUAUCCAAAAUUAAUUUAAAAACUUAAAUUUAAAAAUACAUUAAGAGACUUCAAAUUCCGUUUUAUUUUAAAUGAAAUCGGUUUAGUAAAGAGGUGACUAUGGAUCAAGUCAAGCCGAAUCGAAGUUCAGUUUCAAAAAAUUCCAAGUCCUAGAGCCUAUUUUUGAUCCAACUCACCCAAAAGCUCGUUUUCUAUUUGAAAAUAUUAAAAAUAUUUUUAAUUGAUAUUUUACAUAUUUUUAUAAUUAAAUUUAAAUUUUAAUAAAAAUUAUUAUUUAAAUUAAACUAUAAAAAUAUUUAUCCAAAUCUGACCCAAAUCGAAUUAGGCCGGGUGGGCGAUCCGAUCAUGACAGGAAAGGAGAAACAAGAAAGACGAAGCCUAAACAGGCAGUAAAUUCAUUUUAAUUCUACAUACAUUCCAUAUUAUUAUUUAGGGAUAAUAUAGUUUUUGACCCUAAUCUUGAUAGUUAAGUGGACUUUAGUACAUAUAUCUUUUUUGUUCUACUUUGACACUCGAACUUCAAAUAUUUUGGUUCCUAAACUUGAAAAAUAUAAAAGUUUUAUGAUGCAACUCUGUAAGAUUGUGUUACAUCAUCACUUAAAAAUUAAAAAAAUAUAUAAAUAUUUUUAAUUAAUAUUUUAUAUAUCUCUAUAAUUAAAUUUAAAUUUAAAAAAUAUUUUUUAUUAUUUAAAUUCAACUCAGAUUAAAUCAAAAUAAAAUGUAAAAAUACUUAUUCAAAUCUGACCCAAAUUGAGUUGGGCCGGGCAGGCUACCCAGUCAUCUCAAGUCUACUUUAGCACAGGUAAGUAAAGUUGAAUCAUUAGAUUGGGAUAUAUGUGUGCUUCGGGUAAAUACUUAUUUGGGCUGAAUUAUUUGGACUUCAAUUAUGAAUUUAAUUUUUUACUAAUAUGUGUGAGAAGCCCAUUCUUUUAUGAAUUUUGGGCCACUUCGGUUUCGUCUUCAGGAAUUAAACAUUCAUAAAAAUCUAAAAAAAUUUAUUAAAUUAUUAUUUAUUAAUUAAACCAGUUGAUUAUUCAAUCGGUUUGACCACUAGUUCUUGAUUCAACUCAUUUGAUCGGUUCAACUACCCAACUAACAAUAAUUAAAUGAAUGAUUCAACAUCCAUAAAAAUCUAAAAAAGAAUAUUAAAUCGAUUACAUAUGUUCAAUAGCCAAGUUUUUUUUUUACUAAUUUCAAACAAUUUUUUUAAUUUAAUUGAUUCAACCAUUUUGUUCAAACUAGGGUGUUCGCAAAAGUCUCGACUCUCCUAAAAUGGAAAAGUUUUUAUUUAAGUCAUUUAAAAUUUUUAAAAUUUUAAAUUAAUAAAGGUAAAUUACACUUUGGCCCCAUAAAAAUAUAAAAAUUUGAUUUAAUCCUUUAAAAAUUAUAAAGAUAUAGGCUAUUAAAAUGGUGAAAUUAUAUUUUUACUUCGUAAAAAUUACAAUUUAAUUUCGACUCCCUUUUUUUUUUUUGAUUUCGCCCCUAAUUCAAACCAUUAUACCGGUUGGUUCUUAGUCCAAUCAAUCCAACCAACCAAUCCACUACUAUUUCAGUAAAAUUGGUCAUAUCAUCAAAUCUUGAUAGAAUCCAAAUUUAAAGGACCAAAAUAGAUCUAAUUGUCAAACUCAAAUACCAAAAUGGAUCUAACUUAAAAGCAAUAUUGAAACAUGUCUUUCUUGUUUUCUCCGUCUCUUAAAACCCCCUGACCUUUGUUUUUUUUUUUUUUUAGUCUUUGAGUUCCUUAGAGAGUUGGUUCAUAUUUUAGGAUAUUGUUUCAUGCUUUUGGCUUGCGAGUUCUUUGUAUUGUAAUGGUAUUUUUUGUAUUAGUGUGAGGAGUAUUGUGGUGUUAUUUUGCUAUCCAUUGAUUCGUUUUGGGUGAAGGUUUUAUUUUGAGCCUUUGUGUUUGUAUGGGAUACCUUAUCUUCGAGUUCUGGGUUUUUCUUUAAUAUAUUUCUAUCGGUUCGAAAAAGAUGGAAGUCUAGAUUUGAUUUGGAGAUAAAAUUGUGUUUUAAUUUUUGUGUACUUUCCUGAUUUUUCUAAAUAAUAUUUUUUUCUGCUUCAAUCCAACUACAAUACUUGCAUUAUAAACAACUAUUUCAUUGAAUUUCUUUUUUAUUUUAAAAAUACUUUUUAAACUGUUUUUUUUCUAGAGAUUCUCUAAAAUUUUCUAUUAAAAACUUUAUAUAUUUGGUAAAAGGAUUAAAGAAGUUCCUGUACUUAGUGAUGGAUUGCAUUUCAACCCUUUUAUCGAAAAAAAUUGACAAAUUAAUUUUUAUACAUUUCAAAACAUACAAAUUUGUCGCUUCGUUAAAAUUUUUCUACAUUUUAACCUAUUCAUCAUUUCCUUUGCAGAAAAAUAGUUGAUAUACCAUUAGAACAUGAGCCUCAAACAUUAUAAAUGAAUAAUAAUACCUCGGUCUAUGAAGAAGUUAUGUUACAUUUGAUGGAAUAUCAAAGGAAAAUUUUUCGUUUAUUUUAAAAAGAUUUUAUUCAAUUUUCUAAUUGUAUAUAUAAUUGAUAUUAAUUAUUUUUUAUUUUAAGUUUAAUUAUUUUAAAACAUAUUUAUUAAAUAACUUUUUUUGGUGUUAUUAAUUAAACAUCAAAUGCAGCAUUAAUAUUGUAAGUCUUCCGUUAUUUAAUAUUUAAAUAAUAUGAAAUUGAACAUUUAAACGUAAAAUAUAAAAUUAUUCUUAAUAAUUUAUAAUAAAGGGAAUAAUAAAACAGAUGAUUAGAUGAAAUCAAGAAUCAGGUUAAAUUCACACCUGACCAUGGAAAUAUUUGUGUCGAUAUGAUUUAUAAACAGGGUUUAGCCAUGAUACUUUUCUGUGAGAGGCAAAAUCAAAAUUUUUCUUUUCACUUAAAAACUUAAUAUUUUAAUUUUUCCUCAAUUUUGUCCAUUCAAACAUGUUAAGACUGUAUGGUUUGAUUUACCUGUUGGUACGUAAGCUUAUUCAUGCAAAAGUGUCCUUUUAUCAAUUAAAAAGAACAGCAAUAAGGUAAAACGUCAGUUUUUAAUAGAGUCUGACUGCGUCGUCGGCAAAUGAGUGUAGAAUCUUUUACGGUAAGCAAAAGCAUGCUAUCCUAUUUUCCUCCAAUAGCAUAUUUAUUUAUCAUUAAUAAUUACUUUCAUUUUAAUUGUAAUAAAAAUUUAUGACAUAAUUCAUCGUUUACAAACACCAUCUUCAUAUAAUAUUUAAAUUUUCUUUUAGAUAAUUUAUGAUUAUAAUUCUUGAACACAUAUGACAUAAUGGAUGAUUAUUUGGUAUAGCUGAUAGUAAAUUUUUAAUUUCAUAAAUAGAUUUGAAAGUUUGAUAUAUAUUUUAAGUUGUAUUUAAAAAAAAUAGGAUAUAUGAAAAUUUUUCAAUCUCGCUUAUUGAGUUAAUUAAUAAUCCAUAAAAAAAUAUUACUUUGUAUGUUUUAAUUCUUAAUUAAUUUUAGAUAUUUGACUUCUAUUAAUUUAAAUGUUUUAAUGUUUUUUUUGAAUUAAAAAAAGUGUGUAUUUAAUUCUUCAUAAAACAAAUUAUUUGUAAAUAAUCAUAAAUCGGUAUAAGAAGAUCAAACCUAAUAUAUCAAAGCAACUAAUAGCGGAUUGAUUGUUUGAUUUCAAAUGUUUAAAUUUGAUAAUCAAUCAAUUUAAAGAUACAAUGAGAUGUAAUUUUGUAAAUUAGAUAUCUCAAUCUUAGUAUUAAAUGAUUGAUGACUCUAAGCUACUUAAAAACAAGAAGACAAUCAAUCUUCACUUUAAUUUAUAUGAUCCAAAGUUCUUAACACCAUUUCAAAGAACCGUUCAGAAAUUAUAGAUACAAGAUCUAAUCAAAACAUCAAGUAACGGCCAAAUCAAAACCCACCAAAGAGAUAUCCAAAGUCUCAAAUCUGGAAUUAAAGGUCAACGUAACCACAUCAUACAAAGAAAUGCUCCCACCACUCCACUUCGGGACAUGUACAAAAUCUGAUUUCUUCGAUCACUACUUGAAAGAGUUGAUAAUUCUCAUAUUUAGAAUUAUUUUAAUUUAGUUUUUAUAGUAUUUUAGGAGUAAAAUCUUUUUUAUUAUAGUUUAUAGUUUUUGAAAUUAAUUAGAUUUUAUUUAAUUUUCCGGAUUUAUUAGCUAUAUUUUUCUCCAUUGUAAAUUUGAGAUAAAAAAAAUGAAAGAGUUGAAAUAUAAAGUAAGAAAGGAUGAAAUCUUCUACUCCACUUGAUCAACUUUACAGUGAACAUAUUUUUAAAUUCAGAAAUUUUGAUAGCAAUUAUUCCUUCUACCAUAAUUUUUUAUUUGGUGGAGCUCCUAAUAAAAGUCAAAAAGAAAAAAAAAGUAUGGGUUUGACCAAUAUUUUAUGGUUCAUUUUUUAUAUAUUUACUCUAAUCUCUGUUUCUAAAAAAUAUCUUAAAACAUUGAAAAAAUAUAUAGUUUAAUUAGCAACAAAUACGCGUUUUUUAUUCUCAAAUUAUUGGUCCAAUCGGUUGAUUUAGUUAGAGAUUCAAAUAUUAUUUAUGAUUUUAAUAUAAAAUAUGAGAAAUGAUGUUCACAUUUCAAAUGAUGUUCAAAUUGAUGGAAACAGUCAAAAAAGAAAAAAUCCUGAGAUGUCAAGUUUACAUUUUAAAACUGGAAGAAAGAAAUCCUCAAAGCAAAUUGGAGGGGCUGCAAGAUUGUCCAGUCAAAUAGAAAAACUAUGCAAUGCAGCUGACAAUAUGAGUCAAGCCACAUCUAGUUUGACUCCUGUUAUGGAUCCAUAUGGUAUUCCACAAGCAGUCAAAAUGCUUGACAGCAUGUCGGAAGAAGUUCCAGAAGCUAGUCCGCUAUACUUUUUCGCACUUAGAUUAUUGCUCAAUAAGGACAAGCGAAUUAUGUUUUUAUCAAUUAAUCCUAAUAUUAGAGCUUUGUGGCUUAAGACGGAAAUGGAGGAUAGUUGAAAAUUUUUUGAUCUUCUAGGGUUUAAAGAUAUCUAUUUAUGUGUAAUCUUCUAGUUAUAAUGGCUUAAGCGAAUUAUGUUUUUAUCAAUAGUUAUUUAUGUUUAGUUUUUGGAUAUUGAAUUUAUGUGCGAAUUAUGCUUUUGGAUAUUGAAUUUAUGUGUAAUCAAUUAUGUUUUAUUAAUAGUUGUUUAUGUUUGGUCUUUAGAUAUUGAAUUUAUGUUCCACUUAUUUUUUAUUAAAUUAAUUUUAUUAAUGGUUGUUUAUAUGUGAUUUUGGAUAUAAAAUUUAUUCACAGGUGAUGAGUAUAGUUGAGGAUUAUAGCAGUGAUGAAAGUGAUGAUCAAAGGGAAAAGAAAGAGAUGUUACAACGCAUGGAAUGUUUUAACCGAAUAUUUGUUGUUGCAUCUUCUUCCAUGCAAUUAUAUUACGAGAAGUAUAUAUUGAGGCAACCAUGCAUGGAUUCAAAACAGUCAGGUGAGACAUGGAUCCGAGAGAUCCUUGACGGUCACGAAUCACGUUGUAUGAUUAAUUUUAAGAUGUCUAAAAUGGUAUUCACAAGUUUGUUGAGAGUUUUGGAGACAAGAUACAACUUGCAAACUUCAAGAAACAUAUCUUCUACUGAAAUGUUGGGAAUUUUUUUAUACAUCUUGGGCACCGGUGCAAAAGUUUCCCAAUGUCGAGAAAGAUUUCAAAGGUCUGGAUCAACAAUAAGUCGAUACUUUGCAGUUGUGCUUGAGAAAGUUUCAAGGAUGGCCAUUGAUCUAAUUGCACCUGAAGAUCCUUUUUUUAGCUCAAUACCCGAACAAAUACAUAAUGAUUCUAGAUAUAUGCCGCAUUUUAAGGUUAAAAUUUAAUUUCAUAUUAUUAUAUUUUAAUAUAUUUGGUCGACUAAAAAUAUGCACGAGAGUAAUAUGAUUAUUUGUUCAGGAUUGUAUAGGUGCAAUUGAUGGUACUCACAUUGCGGCUAUUCUUCCACCAAAUGAACAAAUUCCCUAUAUUGGAAGAAAAGGUAUCCCGACUCAAAAUGUUAUGGCAGUAUGUGAUUUUAAUAUGUGUUUCACAUUUGUCAUGGCUGGAUGGGAAGGAUCGACACAUGACACUAGAAUAUUUCUUGAUGCAAUUCGAGAUCUAAAAUACAAAUUUCCGCACCCUCCAAAUGGUUAGAUAUUUUAUUUAUAUGUGAUUUUUUAAAUAAUAAAGUAAGUUCUUUAAUUGAUUUUUUAUUAAAAAAAUUCUUGAAUUAAUUGUUUGUUAUAUUAUGACUUGUAGAAAAAUAUUAUCUUGUUGAUUCUGGAUAUCCUCAAAUGAAAGGUUAUCUUGGACCAUAUAGAGGUCAACGAUAUCAUUUACCUGACUUCCGAAGAGGUAGACCGAUUUCUGGUAAAGAAGAGAUAUUCAAUCAUUCACAUUCAUCAUUACGUAGUGUGAUUUAACAAACUUUUGGUGUUUUAAAAAAAAUGGGCCAUUUUAAGGGAUAUGCCAAGUUAUAGUUUUGAAAAGCAAACGGUGAUCGUUGUUGCUAUAAUGACGAUACACAAUUUUAUCCGAAAACAUGUUGGUCAAAAUGAUGUAGAUUUUAUGGAAUACGAAGAUAUUAACUCGGCAUAUGAGAAUAGUAUUGAUUCAGAAAAUGCGCAUGGGCCACAAAGUGAUGAUGAUGACGACGACGACGACGAUGAUAGUAAUGAUGAUGGUGAAUCAAACAUUUUUAGUGGUUUUGAAAUGGAAUUAACAAGAGAUGCUAUAGUUUCUAGUUUAAUGAAUUCAAUUUAAAUUGUAAAUGCUAUUGUAAAAUUUUUAGUAUUUAUAUCUGAUAUAUAAAUAUUAUCCCCUUUUUAAAACUUCAAUCCAAAUAUAUCUAAUAUUUUAAUUUGUUAAGUUUAUGUUUUCUAUGUUAUAUUAAUAUCUAAUAUGAGUUAUAUAUUCAAAUAUAUUUUAAAAUAAAAUAAUACAAGCGUGUUAAAAGUAUUAAUUAAAAAUAAAAAAUAAUUUUUAUAAUAAUACAAUCGUGUCAAUAUCUAAUUACAAAUAUUUAAAUAUUUAAAUAUAGUUUAUAUAUUCUAAUUAAAUUUUAUAAAUAAUUAAUAUUAAUUACUUAGAAAUAUUUAAAAUUAAUAUUAUAUAUUAAAAUAUUAACAAUAAGUUAUAAUAAAUUAUUUUUUUAUAUUUUUGCUAAAAUAUCAUAAUAUUAACUAAUUUGAACAUUAUUUAAAAACAUAUUUGUUACUUUAUAAUCUCAUGUCUAAAAUGGACAUUUUAUUCUUCAAAAAUACUUUUUAACACUAAUAGCAAACACUCAAAUUUUUCAAAAGCACUUCUUAAAAAUAAUUCUCAAAAGCAUUUCUCAAAAGUAACGAAAAACUAGCCCUUAACGCCCCGUUCUUCUGCACGUUUUAGAAGUGCUUUUGGCUGAAAAAUCCUUUUCCUUUAAAAGGAAUGAAGAACAGCCUCCUUUUCUUCUGAAAAUUUCACCAUCAGAAAAGGACUUCUCUCCAGAUGAAAAGUUAAAAUUUCUCUUUUUUUUCAGCUUAAAGUGCUUUUGGCUGAAAAUUGACCAAAUUAACCUAUCGUCUUCUCCCACAAACUUUCUUUCCCCUCCUCUGCUGGUUCUUUGGAACUGUCUUCUCCCACAAACGUGCUUUUGGCUGAAAAGAACAGAAAUUUGAUUUCUCAAAUUUUUCCACAAACGUGCUUUGGAACUGUCUUCUCCCACAAACGCUCUCCCACUCCCGCGACGGGGCGCUGUCAAUCGGCUGUGCUUCAGGGUCGAAGGAAGCAUAUGGAAGGUCUCACUGUCUGCAUGCUCGAUCUCCACAUUCCCUUCCCGAGUAUCUCUCUUUCUUCAUAUCUUUUUUUUUGUGCGGCUUCGUGGUUUUAUUAGAAUGCGUUCAUAGGGGAAUUAGUCUUACGAUUAAUAUUUUCUCUUGUAAAAAGGAUAAAUUGAUGUUGCAAUUUAAUGACAGUUUUUAUGCUAUGGAUUGAGAAUGAGAUUCUAGGGUUUUUCAUUGAAUGAAUUUGCUUUUGGUUGUUUUAUUAACAAACUUCAUCGCUUCGCUUAAGAAAAAAAAAAUCCUUCUUUUAAGAUUGAAUUUAUGAAGUUUUAUCGGUUAAUUAAAUGCUUAGCUCUUUUCUAAUGACUGUAACCAAUGUAGCAAUGAUAUUAAAGAAGGUUUAGUUAUAAAAGUGGAGAGAUAUUAUGCUAAACCGAACUACUAACUUCAAUAGUUUACUUCUUAGUGUUCUUAUAGAGGCAAUUUUGUUUGAAAAGGAUCUUUCUAAACAAUGUAAGAUUUGGUAUUUUUGCUUAUUUUGUGAUGGUUGAAGAAGUUUGUGCGUAUCACUGAUUUAAUAACUUUGUCUAACGUCUCAUCCUAUGUUUUAUUUUUAAUACAUAAAUUUUUGAUACAUUGGAGCAGGCAAAAUUGGGGUUAAGGAAGUUUCAGUCGGAGUUGUUGCAGUUUUUGAUGGUCAUAAUGGUGCUGAAGCUAGUGAGAUGGCUUCAAAACUUUUACUGGAGUAUUUUGCUCUAUAUACAUAUUUCCUUUUGGAUGCAACUUUUUCCUUUGUAUUGAAGAAGCAGUCAAGUAGGUUGCCAAAUGUAGGAGAAGGGGAUAUUGUUUUCUGUUGCGGAAAGGAUCGAUUCGAGAACUCCGAUAUGACUACAAGUAAAUUGACCGAAACGAAAAAUAAAGUGAACACAAGGAUUUACGUGGUUCGGCUUUAAUGCCUACGUCCACGGGCAGAGGCGAAAAGAAAUUUCACUAUAACAAGAUGAAGAUUACAAGUGUUUUACACUCAAGACACAACCCGAGAACCUCACAACUCUCAACCCCUAUAGAAAACCCGAAAGCUAAAAUCCUAGCUUUCAAAGAACAAGCUUUGCUCUCUCUUGGUUUGGGAUGAUCAAUAUGGCUAAUGAACCUCUCUAUUUAUAAGAGAGUUCAAGGACAUAAUUGUCCAAAACUUUGGCAAAGAUUUGUGGUUGAAAAUGGACACCAACAACCAUCCACUAAUCCACUACCACCAACAACCCACUACCAACAACAACAAUCCACUACCAAUUUUAAGCCAUUUCUUAACAAAUCUCCACCUUGGCUUGAAAUUUACCAAGCUGAACAUCAUAGAAACUCCAAGCCAUUAUCCGUCCGGAAUCGCUUGAUCUUCUUUCCUGUUUGAUUUUCGAUCAAAGCUUUAAAUUGCUUGAAGUUGAUGAGAACCUCAUACUUGCUCUUCAGAAAAUACACCCAAACCUUUCUCGAGUAAUCAUCGAUAAAGGUAAGCAGAUAUCUGUAACCACCUUUAGAAAUUGUCGGAGAAGGCCCCCAAAGGUCAGAAUGGAAGUAAUCCACUGUGCCUUUUGUCUUGUGAAUCCCAGUGCUGAACUUUACCCGAGUCUGCUUACCGAAGACGCAGUGCUCACAGAAAUUCAACUUUCCUGUACACUGCCCAGACAAUAAUCCUCGUUUGCUUAGCACCGAUAAGCCUCUCUCGCUCAUAUGCCCGAGCCGCAUAUGCCAUAACUUCGUGGUGUCAGAAUCUAGAUCAUCUGAUGAUGACACUCCCGCAACACCUGUAACCGAGGAACCAUCGAGGAAGUAAAGGCCCCGCUCCAAAUUACCACGUAUCACAGUCAAAGCACCCGAGAAUACCUUGAGAACUCCACCUUCAGCAGAGUACCGAAAGCCUUUCUUGUCCAACGUACUCAAAGAGAUCAAAUUUUUCUUCAUUUCUGGAAUGUGCCGAACAUCAGUUAGAGUUCUAACAAUACCGUCAAACAUCUUUAUACGAACUGUGCCAAUCCCCAUGACUUGACAUGCGUGGUCAUUUCCCAUUAGUACUGAACCAGAAUGCUUCUCGUAUGUUGAGAAUGCAUCUUUCGAAGUACUUAUAUGAAAUGUAGCUCCCGUAUCAAGAAUCCAUCUCCCACCAGCGUAAGAGUCGGAUACUGCAAGAACGAUCUCGGCAUCACUUGAAGAAUCUGCAUCAGCUACAUUCGCACGAUCAUUUUGUUGCUCCUGUGAUUCUGAUUUCUCCUUCCUUUUCGGACAAUCUACCUUCAUGUGCCCGUACUUCUUACAGUAGUAGCACUGUAUUCUCUUCUUGGACUGCGAUCUAGGAUGGCUUUUACUUGAACUUCCACCCUUUGCCUUGGAUCUUCCUCGAGCAACCAAGCCUUCGCCUUCAUUGUUUUCGACCACCUUACCAGUGAUUUUCUUCCUCAACUCACUGGAACUUAAGGCAUUUUUCACCUCCUCUAGAGUCAGGUCAUCACGACCGUACAUCAUUGUAUCAACAAAAUUCUCAUACGAGGGAGGCAAAGAACACAAAACAAUUAUUGCUUGGUCCUCAUCAUCGAUUUUGUUAUCGAUAUUAUUCAAAUCCAUGAUAAUGGAAUUGAAUUUAUCCAGGUGCUGGGAAACAGGUGUACCUUCCUCCAUCUUCAGGGCAUAGAGUCUUUGCUUGAGGUAGAGCCGGUUCGUCAAUGACUUCGUCAUGUACUUGCUCUCUAACCGGAGCCACAAACCGGACGCGGUUUUCUCAUCCGCUACUUCUCGUAGCACUUCAUCUCCUAGACAUAGCAGAAUAGCACUAUGUGCUCUUUCUAGCAUGUCAUCCUUUUGCUCUUCCGAAAGCGUGCUUGGUAAUUUAUCUUUACCAGACAAUGCUUUUAGCAAUCCUUGUUGAACCAGCACUGCCCGCAUCUUGAUGCGCCAUAAACUGAAACUAUUUUUCCCGGUAAAUUUCUCGACAUCAUACUUAGUCGAUGAAACACUUGUAGCCAUAAUUUGGAACCUUUGAAUGAAUGAUAAUAUUUUCUUCCUGAUGUGAAAGAUCAGACAAAGCUGCAGUCACAGGGCAAUUCAGAAAAUAUUAUCACUCCUUCAACUACGCUCUGAUACCAAUUUGUUGCGGAAAGGAUCGAUUCGAGAACUCCGAUAUGACUACAAGUAAAUUGACCGAAACGAAAAAUAAAGUGAACACAAGGAUUUACGUGGUUCGGCUUUAAUGCCUACGUCCACGGGCAGAGGCGAAAAGAAAUUUCACUAUAACAAGAUGAAGAUUACAAGUGUUUUACACUCAAGACACAACCCGAGAACCUCACAACUCUCAACCCCUAUAGAAAACCCGAAAGCUAAAAUCCUAGCUUUCAAAGAACAAGCUUUGCUCUCUCUUGGUUUGGGAUGAUCAAUAUGGCUAAUGAACCUCUCUAUUUAUAAGAGAGUUCAAGGACAUAAUUGUCCAAAACUUUGGCAAAGAUUUGUGGUUGAAAAUGGACACCAACAACCAUCCACUAAUCCACUACCACCAACAACCCACUACCAACAACAACAAUCCACUACCAAUUUUAAGCCAUUUCUUAACAUUUUCCAAGUGCUUAAUUGGGACAAAGAGAUUGGAAAGCAUGGCUUGAACCUUGAAAGGUGAUAUCAUGUGUAACUCAGACCAUAUUUAUGUUUGAGUUCCUUGUUUUAGAAAAUGGAUAUAGCUGUUGCUUGCUGUUGACGAUUCUUAACCCAAAGUAUUAAUGCUUGCUCAGAUUAUUAACCCAAUGUUUAUUUCAUCAUCUUAAAGUUGCUUCCUGUUUGCUUCUACCUGCUAUUCAGCUGGUUGUGGGAAUUAGCCAUCCCUGGUGGAUUUCUCUGACAUUUUUCAUUGGAAGCUGUAUUAGGCUAGUGGAUUGGUCUUUGACUAGCAAUUUUCUAGGACUAUUCAGGUGAUUGCUUCUUGACUCUUUGUACAUUGUUCUAUUUCAUUUUCUUUGUCAAUGAAUUUGGUUUUAUCAUUGGUUAAUGUUUUUAGUAGCUUAUGUUCUGUUUCUUUUUUGUCAAGGUUGUGGAAGGCUCUCCAGUUUUAUGCAGGCUUCAGCAUUUUCAUGCUUUAUGUGUAUCAACUCCUUAUAGAGUUCUCAAGUAUGUUACAGUGGAUAGCUGAUUUUGUUGGUCUAUUCAAAAUAUGUUCAACAUCUGAGUGGACUGAAAUUUGCUCUUCUGUUUCUCUUGUACUUUAUUACAUCAUGGUAUGUACUAGUUUUAUUACUAUAGGUCUGAUUCUGUUUAAAGAUUUUAGCUGAACCUUUUAAUGAAAUGCAAUUCACUCUUCCCUCUUCCUAGAAUCUUAUAUUAUGAAAUUGACUUCAUUUGAGUCUUUCCUGUGUCUGACAUUUGUCUAUCUAAUAGUCUUUUCCCCAUAUUACUAAUUUAAGAUGGUUUGAAGUGUUUUCUUUCUAUAAGAAAAAUUUCCCGAACAGAUAUGAAGUAAUUAGUUGCAAACUAGACUUUGGAGAUUGAUGACAUUUUUGCCAUUCUGGAUGCAAUUUUUAUUCAAUUUGCUCAAUGAAAUUGCAAUUGAAAAUUUGAGAGCUUCCUAGUUAGAAACCACAUAUUUAUAUAAUAUAUGUUUUUAAUAGUUUUGAACAAGUUAAAUUAAUUAUAAAGAAAUAAUAUAAUUGAGAACAAGAUUAGAGCAGCUCGUUUGUACAUCUCAAUCUUAAUAUUAAGUGAUUGAUGACUCUAAGCUACUUAAAAACAAGAAGACAAUCAAUCUUCACUUUAAUUUGUAUGACGCAAAGUUUUUAAAACCAUUUCUAAGAACCGUUAAGAAAUAAUAGAUACAAGAUCUAAUCAAAACAUCAUGUAACGACCCAACCAAAACCCACCAAAGAGAUAUCCAAAAUCUCAAAUUUGGAAUUAAAGGUCAACGUAAACACAAAAUUCUCCAAAAGUAUUAUGAGUUCUAACCUUUUAAUGGGUAUAAUUUUUAAGGUUUUACAAUAGCCUAUUUACAUGCAAAAUUUGUAGCCCAAAUAAUAAUAAAAUAAUAUAAACUAAUCAAUGUUUAACUAAAAUAAAUAAAUAGAGUUUAGCUGAAAGAUUACCUCUCAAAUUUAAUCGAAAUAUGAGGCAAGGUAUCACUUCAAUGGUAUAAAGCUACAUAAAAUCUUAGUUAUGUCUUUGAAAUAUUUUCAUAAAGGCAUGUGCAAAAACUUUUUCAUUCUUAACAAAUUCAUUCCACUCAAUAUUAUUUAUUUAAAAUCAAAACCACAUUUAUUUUUAAACAACAUCUAAUAAUGUAUUUGGCUCAUCCAACAAUUUAUUUUUAAACGACAUUUAUUUAAAAAGAACCAAAUGAGAAUCAUUAUACAACUUCAUAAAGUCGAUGACACAUCCAACAUUUAAAGCACAAAGAAACUAGAUAGGCCAACAACAAAACAAUAAUGCCAACAUUCUCAAAUACGGCAACAAAUUUGUUCUAAAAACAAAAGUAAGCGCAUCGCACCUAGAGCGUAGAAAUACUUGAAUUCAAUCAUUGUAACAACGAAAAAGGAAACAAGACAUCCAACAUCCUCAUCACAAUAGAUUCUCCUUUGACCCGCCAACAGCGUUUGCAAUGCAAUAAAACAAAAAGAGGUUAUUGUGAUAGCAACUCUUAUAAAUAUUCCAAAAUUAACUUUUAGAUGCAUCAAGUCUUAAUCUAAGGGAAAGGGUUUAUCCAAACAUGAAAAAUCUAACCAACUCAAUUCAAUUCAACCCAACCUCAACCUAUCUAUAUAGUUUACUUUUAAUUUAUAUCUAAUUUCAAUUAUGGUUUAAAUUUAAAUAUUUUUUAACAAAAAUUUUAAAUACUUAAUAUUGAACAAAUAGCCAUAUUUAUGAAAAAAUUUGUAAUUAUGAACAUAACUUAACACAUAGGUAAAAGUAUUUUUUUUACUUAAUAAUAUUAUUAGCAAUAGUACGUUAUUAAUUGUAUAUGAAAAUAAUGAAGCUUAAAAAUUAAAAUUUAAAGACAAUGUCAUUGUCAAAUUUACUCAAUUUAUUUUUAACCAUAGUUACCUAUGUACAUAUGUGACACACAUAAUAAGAUGCUAAUAUAUAUAAGGCAAAAUAUUAUAAAGUUAAACGGUUAGAUAAUGAAGUGAAAUGUUUCUAACCUUAUGCAAUAUUUGAACUUGUUAUAGUAACAGUAUCCAAUGAUGUACUUGGCUCAUCAUUAGAGUUCUCACACCUAUGAACCUCCAUUGAUGUUUCAAGCGGCAGUUGAUGGAAUGGCUUAGGAGCCAUUUCAAGGAGUUCAACAUCAGAUUCAAGCAUCUUCAAAACUUUACUCAUUGAAGGACGAUCAGAAGGCAGUAAUUGUAUACACCAAAAGGCUGUUAUUACCAUUUUCUUUACCAUUGCUUUUUCAUCGUCAGAAACAUCUCCCAACUCCAAGUCAUCUCCUUGAUCUAAUCGGUCAUAAAUCCAAGAUGGAAAAUAUAUUUGACUAGUGUGGUCAGCAAAUGCAUUCACAUUCUUUCUCCUUCCAACUAUUUCCAUCAGUAACAUUCCAAAACUAUAAACAUCGGCUUUGUAUGAGAUGCCUCCAAGAUUUUUGUAAACCAAUUCAGGAGCAAUAUAUCCUAUCGUUCCUCGUGCCGCAGUGAGAGAGACAAUGCUAUUAUCUACUGAAUACAAUUUAGCAAGACCAAAAUCCGAAACUUUUGGAUUAAAAUUCUCAUCAAGAAGAAUAUUGUGUGGCUUGAUAUCAAAAUGUAGAAUUUGCAUGUCACAUCCUUGAUGUAAGUAGUGAAUUCCUUGAGCCACCCCAAGUACAAUAUCAAACAUUUUUUUCCAGCCCAAAGUGUUCUUAUUUUCUUCUGUAAAUAUGAUUUUAUCUAAAGAUCCAUUAGACAUGAAGUCAUAUACUAGAGCUUGCUUUGAUCCCUCCACACAAAAUCCGAUAAGUUUUGCCACAUUAGCAUGAUGAAUUGUCCCAAUGGAAGCAACUUCGUUUAUGAAAUCUUGGCCAUUACCUUUUGAUUUGCCCAACAAUUUUAUUGCCACAUGAUGGCCGCUACGAAGCUUUCCUUUAAACACUGAGCCAUAACCCCCUUCACCUAAUUUAUCUUUAAAAUUGUUAGUCAUUUUUUUAAUUUCUUUAAAAGAAUACCUUAAUGGCACUAGAUUAUUUUGGCUUUUAAGGAACUCUUCGAUCAUAUCAUCCAUGGAUAAAUGUCUUCUUCUCCAUUUGUACGUGACAAAAGCAAGCAAACAAAUGAUCCCAGGAAAUGACCUCAAGAUAACUCCACCUUUAAAGAAAUACAAUGUAACAUGUUGAAAUUAAUCACAUAAUAUAUAACUUACAUUCUCAGAAAAAAGGAUAUAGUGUGAUAGUUUUAUGUUAACUAGUAUUUGAGAGAGUGGCAUAUUUCACUAGUCUAUGGACUUAACCGAGAGUAGUCUGAAUUAUAUGCAUUGUUUUUGUCAUUAGCAGGUAUAUCUCAACAAAUUAAAAUUCAGAAUUUCAAACACAAAAGGAGUAAAUCGUGCAAAGUGGAUACCAAUUAUUCUAACCUCAAACAUUCCAAUAGAUUUGACAGGGUCAUGACAUUCAGCCAAAUUAACACAUUCGUAACCCCAUCCAAUUAGCAAAUUCUAAAGAAAGAACAUGAUUCUUAACCAUGAAGGAUACUCAACUGUUGUUUCUAUUCAUGCCAAAUAAACUUGAAGAAGGACAAAUUAAAAAUAUAAUAACCUUCAAAUUUCAUAAAUGAAACAAAAUCUAACCACCAAAAGAUGCAAGAGAACCCCCCAAAAAACAGAUUUGAUAAAUUCAAGAGCUAACUUUGUUGAAUGUUUUAGCAAAAUGAAUAUCCACCAAACUUAUAACCUGUGAAAGUUCUAAACAAUACCAUUAUGGAAACAAGCUUAACUAAAACUCUAACAUCUUUCUUAACUUGACAAAAAAUUUCUUUCAUAUAGAAGAAGAUUGUAUUCUGCAUUCAAACUCCGUAAAGAGUGUCAUAGCUUUCUUAGUUUUGUAGUGAAAUUAAAUAUAAACUUGUAUAAUAUGAUAGGCUCCUUAUUCUUUUUUUCCCCCAGAAUAUAGCUAAUAUUUGUUCUCAACUAGUGAAAAUGCAAAUCUGCAAAUCUAAAAUUAAAUAUACCUGUUAUUAGCAAACAGAGACGACAAGCUCCGAGCAAUCUGGAUUAUAUAUUCAACAAAUCAAAGUAAAAUUAAUAAAGGGGUGUAAAGGAAAAUUCCAAAUUUGUGUAAAAAAAUCAAUGGAAGGUAAUUUAAAACAUUAUAUUAUGUUUUGUGGUAUAUACUCAAAAAAAAAAUACAACAAUUCUUUACAUAUGUUUGCUUGUAAAAAGUAUGCAACAUGUAUUACAGUAUAAGAGUUUUUAGGUAACUAAAAUGAUUUAAUAUAAUCAAAGGUGAGACAAAUUUUAUUCAAAUUAAUUAAUCCAAAAAGUAUAUAUUAUUGCAUUAAAAAGAGUUUUUGCGAAAAAAAUAAACUCAUCCACAAUGGUGGAAUAUUUACGUACUACCAACUAAAUUGAAUAGACAUCAAAAAUAAAAAGAAAAUAAAAAGAUAGACAUAAUCAAAUAUAAUUGUCCAAAAAGAAGACAAAACAGCAGAGAAAGCAGAGGCAGAUACUAAAUUAGAAAUGCUUUUAGUUCAUUUGAUUGUUAGAUGUUGAUCAAUUUUAGAUGCAAAAUCAUCAUACUUAUUUACCAUCAUAAAAUUUAAUUGCCAAAAAAGUAACAUAAAAUAAAACAAAACAUAAAGUAGAUGUUGUAACUAAAAAUUCCAGUAUGAUGCACACUCAAAAUGCAAACUUUAAUUAUUAAAGAAACUUACAUUUCUUUCAACGAAACUUUGUUUUGGUAAUCGCAUCUUUUCCAUUCGACCCAAAAACCCUCUAAUAGUUUUUUGUAGAUAUCCAGCGUAGACAUGCCUAUUAUAUUAUCAACCAUAAUUGGAACCGCCGCUUCGAUAGUGCAAGCUUGAUUGAUAUAAGAUAGCUGGGUGUUUCCAUUUAAAAAAUAGAAAUGGGAAGUUGGCAGGGAAGAGGAGGUAUUGGAUUUGAUGGUACAACGAGAAGCCUCAAUAUAAAGUGACGAUUUUAUAGGUUUCGUGCAAUUCAUAACAUAAAUAAUGCUAUAAUCUAACCUUUUAUAACCAGAAAGAAAAUAAUUAUUAUUAUAAAAAAAAAAUUAUUAUUAUUUUUAUUAAUACCAUUAUAAGAAAAAUAAUCUACAGAAGUAAGAGGAAGGGAGUUGCAAUCAUCCGUGUCUAAACUCGCAUCGACCAUUCGUAUUGUAGAAUUUUCGUAAAAGAUUUGUUGGACAGAGAAUUUCCCUCCUCUCCCAACCAAAGUGGUGCGAUUAUUGUUCUCACACUCAAGUUCCAUGACAGGAGAACCACAGUGGGGAGGUUGGUUUUUUAAUCGGAAUGGAAAACUGAUAUUCAAAUUCCCACAGAAAGUAUAGCCGCAGUCUUGGUUAAUAAGACUCCUAGCAAAACAAACAGCAGGAAAUAGAACUACAAAUAAAGCAAAAGAGGGCAUUAGGUGACCCAACAAUGGCAGUUUUGCUUUUAAUUUUGGCAUGCUAAAAUUUUGGGUAGGGAAGAAGAACAACAAUGAGGGUUAACGAUUAAGUUUCUAACUAAACCAGGGAAAUAUAUAAGAAAGCUUCAGUGGGAGAACAAGCAUUAAUGGGGACAGAAGACUUUGACUAGUCUUCAGCUUUAUUUGGGAUGACUAUUUUAUUUUCAAUAAAUUGUUUACACCUUUUAUUCUUUUAUCUUUUUUCUGGGAAACACCUCAAUCAAAGCACAUCUAAUUCCAAGAAUAGAGCCAUGGUUAUCACAAGCAAAAAAAGGAAUUUUAAUAUUAUUCAAAAAAUUUUAAAUAAAUUUGGACCAUAUACUUGUAGAUCAACCGUUAUCACCUAAAUAAAUUCCAAUUACAAUGAGGAGGACCAAGACAAUGCAAGUCUUAAGUCUUCUUUGAAACACAAAAACAUCACUGCAAAAUAGACUUUUAGCGGCAUUUUUUAGGCCUAUAGCGGCGCUUUUAGGCGUCGCUGGAAAUAGAGCGUCGCUAAAACUAUUUCCGGCGCUUUCACAAGCACCACAAAAAUGCCGCUAUAAACAUCGCCGCUAAAUUUUGCGGCGUUUAUAUGAAAAAACGCCGCUAUAGAACAUGAUCUUUAACGACGCUUUUAUCACAAACGCCGCUAAAGAACAUGGCCUUUAGCAGCGUUUUUAUCACAAACACCGCUAAAGGUAAUAAUCUUUAGUGGCACUUUUAUCACAAACGCCGCUAAAAUAAUAUGAUCUUUAGCGGCGCUUUACCCACAAACGCCACUAAAGAUCAUUACCUUUAGCGGCGCUUUUAUAAAAAACGCCACUAGCUUUUAAAAAUAUUAAAUAUUAAAAAUCACACAUUAUUAAUAUUACAAAUUAAUUAGUAUUGGAUAUAUACUUCUAGUCAAAAAGAUGGUAUUUAAUCAUAUAAUAAAUUAAUAUUUUUUAGUCAAAAUAUUGAAAAAUCAUGUUAAUAUUUAAAUAGCAAAAUUACAAGUUCAAAUAGUGCAACUAAUUGAUUGGAAAAAAAAUGCACAAGUUCAAAAUGUGCAGUAAUAAACUUAAAAAUUUAUAGGCUAAAAUGGAAAUUACCUUUUGAAAUUAGACUAAAAUAGGUUUACUACAUUCACUAUUUACUACAUGGGUUUAUUGCUUCUAUAAACUCCAAUUAGGCAUUGAAACAGGGGUGUUUAUAUAUUACAAAAAAGCAUGAAAAAAUAGGAGUCCAUCUCCACACCUCAGAAACCAGGGCAAAUGCAUACCCCAACAUUGCCCUCGUAUUCAGCAUCCAUCUCCAGCUGCUUCGACGAAUACGGAACGAGAAUACAUGUUGCAAGUUCCGUAUUCUAAUGCAGUGGGUAGCUUGAUGUAUGCAAUGGUGUGUACAAGACCCGACAUUUCACAGGCAGUUAGUAUAGUGAGCAGGUAUAUGCAUAAUCCUGGAAAAGGACAUUGGCAAGCUGUGAAAUGGAUUCUACGGUAUAUUCAGAAGACCGUGGAUGUUGGAUUACUGUUCAAGCAGGAUAAUACACUUGGUAAAGGUGUUAUUGGGUACGUUGAUUCUGACUAUGCCGGUGAUUUGGACAAGCGAAGAUCAACCACCGGUUAUGUGUUUACACUUGCUGGAGGACCAAUAAGUUGGAAGUCUACACUACAGUCUACAGUUGCAUUGUCAACCACAGAAGCCGAGUACAUGGCUGUAACAGAGGCUGUAAAGGAGGCUGUUUGGUUAUAAGGUAUGGCUAAAACCUUGGGGUUGGUUCAGGAGCAUAUUAACGUGUAUUGUGAUAGUCAAAGUGCUAUUCAUUUAGCAAAGAAUCAAGUCUAUCAUGCACGUACAAAACAUAUCGACGUACGAUUCCAUUUUGUGCGAGAAAUUAUUGAAGAGGGGAAAAUUUGUCUUCAGAAGAUCAAGACUGCAGAUAAUCCCGCAGAUAUGAUGACCAAGGUGGUAACAGCAACCAAGUUCGAACAUUGUUUGAACUUGAUUAAUAUCCUGCAAGUUUAACAGUUGAAGAAGGCACUAUCAAGUAUUGUGGCUAGGAAAGACUUGGUAUUUAAGUGAUCUUCGUGAUCUACCUCUCUUUCCUGGGAAUUGAACUUAGUGUGAUUUUUCAGUACAAUAAUUUUACUCUUUCACACGCUUCCGCGCAACACACAAUCUUGGUUAAUAAGUUGCCUAGCAAGACAAACACCAGGGAAUAGAAUUACAAAUAAAGCAAAAUGGGGCAUUAGGUGGCCCAACAAUGGCAGUUUUGCUUUUAAUUUGGGCAUGCUAAAAUUUUGGGUAGGGAAGAAGAACAACAAUGAGGGUUAACGAUUAAGUUUCUAACUAAACCAGGGAAAUAUAUAAGAAAGCUUCAAUGGGAGAAGAAGCAUUAAUGGGGACAGAAGACUUUGACUACUCUUCAGCUUUAUUUGGGAUGAAUAUUUCAUUUUCAAUAAAUUGUUUACACCUUUUAUUCUUUUAUCUUUUUUCUGGGAAACACCUUAAUCAAAGCACAUCUAAUUCCAAGAACAGAGCCGCGGUUAUCUCAAGCAAAAGAAAAAGAAGAUUUUAAUAUUAUUCAAAAAUUUUAAAUAAAUUUGGACCAUAUACUUGUAGAUCAACCUUUAUCACCUUAAUAAAUUCCAAUUACAAUGAGGAACAAGACAAUGCAAGUCUUAAGUCUUCUUUGAAACACAAAAACAUUUAAGUGGCUGAGAGCAACAACUGUUAUUGCUUUGGUCCUUUUGUGUUAAGUAAGACAACAGUUUGUUGGAUAUUUCUAAAAAGCAAGUUCAUAGUUAGAACUGUCAAGCAAGGCGACUCAAUGCCCAAUUGUAUAGAUUUUUUUUUCUUCCACGAAUAAUACUUAACCACUUUUCAAAUAAUUUUAUUAAUAUAAUUACAUGUUUUUAUCCAUUCGACUGUGAUACUCGAACUUGACAACUAGUUAUAUUUUGGUUCCUAAACUUAAAAAAUAUGAAAGUUUUAUGAUGCAACUCUCUAAUAUUGUGCUACAUCAUCACUUGAAAAUUAAAAAAAAAAUUAUAUAAAUUUUUAGAGAAUGGCAUGAUACAAUCUCUAAGUGUCACGUUCAUUAUUUUAAUAAUCAAGUUGAUGAUUGAACCAGUCAGACCACUAUUACUCGAUUCAAUUAGUUUGAUCAGUUCGACUGCUAGACCAACAAUAAUUAAAUAAAUCAUUAAACAUUCAUAAAAUUCUAAAAAGGUAGAAAACAAAAUUUAUUAAACUGAUUAAACAUGGUCAACAGCUGGGGUUUUUUUAAAAUUUUUUUAAUUUUUACCAAUUUCAAGUAAUUUUUAUAUUUAAUUGAUUCAACAUCUUUGUUCAAACUAUUAUACCGAUCGAUUCUCGGUCCAAUCAAUCUAACCAUCCAAUCCACUCCUAUACUAGUAACACUAAUCAUAUUAUCAAAUCUUGAUGGAAUUCAAGUUUAAGUUUAAGGGACUAUAGUAGACUUAGCUGCCAAGUUUAGAUAUCAAAGUGGACCAAAAUUUUCGCUUAUUUUAAAGAGAUCUUAUUUUUCUAAAAGUUUUUACUCUUUUUUUUAAUUACUAUAUAAUUUGUACUAAUUAUUUAAAACAUGUGUUAAAUCAUUUUUAACCAUACUCAAAACCAUUUUUUUAAUCAAAUAUAAGUACUUAAUAUUUAAUUAAAUUAAAAAGAUCAAAGAGAUAAAUUUCAAAAUUAUAUAUGAACUUUAAUUUAAUGUACUGCAAUUGUAUAUAUGAAUUUUAAUUUGGUGCAAUUAUACACUUGUAACUCUAAUUGUGGUUCAAAUAUAUACUUUAAACUUUAUAUAUACAAUUACACAUUAAACCAUAGUGUAUGUAUACAUAAUUCAUAAGUUGUACAUAAGAAGUAAGUUUUGGUUAGUGUAAUAUAACUGUGAUUCAAGAUUACGCAUUCAUUUCAGACAAAGCACACCCUUUGAAAUUCAAGUUUUGAUUCUGAUUCUUUCUUCUUCUUUUUUUAAUAAAACCUCUAUGAAAGAAUUUUUUUUUUAAUUCCUUAACGGUAGUGAUUUUGGGUUAUGGAGAAAAAAGGAGUGAAAAGUUGUGAUUUAUGUGGAAGUAGGGAUUUUUCUGUUUUAAUAGUUUUAGAAAUGGAUUUGAUGGAGAUUUCAAUAAUGCUUCAUGUUGGAUUAGUUUUGUUGCUACUUUGGAUGCUUUCUCAAUUCAAUCUUUGCCAUCCACUUCCUUAUUUCCUGUCUCUCAUCUACCUCUAUUUGGCAAUUCAUUCAUCUUCUGCUGAGAAUAAAAAAUGAAACUUUUUUUCUUUAUUUUUGAGCUUGGAUAUUGAACUUUUUUUUUAUUGUUUUUGUUACAGAAAUUCCUUUUAUUUCUUUGUUCAUCAAAGGUUCAUGAAAUGUAUGUGACGAGAUUGAGGAAGAAAUUGGAGUUGGAGGAAAUAAUGCACAAAGAAACUAGACAUGUCAACAACAAAACAAUAAUGCCAACAUUCUCAAAAGCAACAACAAAAAUGUUUUAAAAAAGGAAAUAGACAUCACACUUAGAGUAUAGAAAUACUUGGAUUGUAACCAUGAAAAACGAAAUAAGAUAUCCAACAUCCUCAUCACAAUGGAUUCUCCUCUGAUUCAUUACUAGCCUCUGCAAUGUAAUAACACGAUUAAAAGUUAUUGUAGCAGUAACUCUUAUAAAUAUUAAAAAACUAACUUGUAAAUACAUCGAUCAUGUCUAAAUCUAAUCUAAGUCAAGGUUGAUCUAAACAUGAAAAUUCUAACAAAUUCAUCUCAAUUCAGUCCAACUAAACCUAAACUAAAUUGACACAAAAAUCUAUUUAUAUAAUUUACUUUUAAUUUAUAUAUAACUUUACUUAUGAUUUAAAUUUAUACAUUUAAUAUUGAACAAAUAGUCAAAUUAAAAAAUUUUGGUAAUUAUGAACAAUAACUUAAGACAUAGGUAAUUAAAGAAAAUACUAAUAUAUAUUUAUAUUUAUAUAUAAGGCAAAAUAAUAUAAAGCUAAAAAGUGAGAUAAUGAAGUAAAAUGUUUCUAACCUUAUGCAAUAUUUGAAUUCGCUAUAGUAACACUAUCCAAUGGUGUACUUGGCUCGUUAUUAGAGUUCUCACAAUUAUGAACCUCCAUUGAUGUUUCAAGAGGAAGUUGAUGGAAUGGCUUAGGAGUUCAACAUCAGAUUCAAGUAUCUUCAAGAUUUUACUCAUUGAAGGGCAAUUAUUAUCUUCUUCACCGUUACUUUUUCAUCGUCAGAAAUAUCUCCGAACUCCAAGUCCUCUCCUUGAUCCAAUCGGUCAUAAAUCCAAGAUGGAAAAUAUAUUUGACUAGUGCGGUCAGCAAAUGCAUUCACAUUCUUUCUCCUUCCAACUAUUUCUAUCAAUACAUUCCAAAACUAUAAACAUCGGCUUUGUAUGAGAUGCCUCAAUAUAAAGUGAUAAUUUUAUAAAUUUCGUGCAAUUCAUAACAUAAAUAAUGCUAACCUCUAACCUUCCAUCAUAAUAAUUACCAUAAGGAUAAAUAUAAGAAUAAGAAUCUACAGAAGUAAUUAAGAGGAAGGGAGUUGCAAUCAUCCGUGUCCAACAAUCAACCCCUCCCAUAGUAGGCUGUCGAGGAGCCUCCUGCACAUCAUAAAUAGCACGAGUUGUACGCCCCAAAGCAUUUGCCAAGGACCAUCAAGACGAAGGUCAAUAACAUUUGUGUAAAUUUGGAGUGCUACCUUACAGCCAAAACUAACAGAAUAGUGACUGCUGUUUGGAUUGAAAUGUCAAAUGAGUCAGUUCGGAGUCGGAUACAAGCAAAGUAGCAUUCGAAGCAUCCGUUGCGCAUCAUAGGGGAUAGAAGACCUUGAGUUACAUGAUUUCAUUUUGAGUAUUGAAAAUUGAAAAUAGGAUAACUACCAACCACUAAUAUAUUAUCAGCAAAAUCUCCCAAUUGAAAGAACAAAAGAUGCAUCUAUACUAUGUUUAAAAGUUUAAUAGAGUUUAUGGUUAUCUAUCAAUGAGGUAUCAACUCAAUUGUAAAAUCAUUAAAAUCUUAUUAUUUUUAAAAACAAAAAAUAUUAUUUUGAAGGUAUUUUUAUUUUUAAUUAAACUUUAUAAAAUACAUCAAUUUAAUAGAAUUUGAACCCAAAACAUCAUAAUCCUUAUUACCUAAAUUUUACCAUAUUAAACAAAGCCACAUUUAGCUUUUAUAUCAUUUUUUAAAUAAGCUUGUUAUAUCAUUUUUUUUCACCCAUGUGAGGGUGCCAUAAUCUAAUAUAUCUUUAUUUAAUAAGUAAUAAUCCCAUAUGCAUUAGAGAGUAUUAAGUUGAGUUAUUAAAUUUAGGGUUUGUUAUAUUCUAACGAGUUAUUUUCAAUUCCAUUGAAAUGAUUUAUAGGUGAUAAAUUUUACAAUUUAAUACGAUUAAUUUUAUUAUAUUACAAUGAAAAACAAAAGAAAAAGAAGAAUUUAAUAUGGUUCAAAGUUUUUAAAUAAAUCUGGACCAGACAAACCUUUACCAUUAAUCUAUUCCAACUUCAAUGAGAACGACCACGACGAUGCAAGUCUCAAGUCCUGUUUGAAACGCAAAAGCUUUCAAGUGGUUGAGAGCAGCAAGCCCGAUCCCUUUUGUCCGUUUGUGUUAUGUAAGUCAAUUGUAGAGAACGAUUGUUGGAUAAUUCUAAACGCAAGUUAAUAGUUAGAAUCCUUGAGCAACGCACAUUCCGCCCCAACCCAUGCAUAACGUUAGACGAGACUCAAUGACUAAUUGUAUAUAUUUUUAAUUUUGUUCAACAACUACAUAAGUAUAUUUUUAAAUGAUUGUUAAUAUAAUUACAUGUAUUUUCAUCUAUUUUAUAUGAAUUUAAAAUAUUACAAAUUAAAUAUAAUAUAAGAUACAAGUUCUAUUCAAUUAAAUUUAAAUUUAAAUUCAAAAUUUAAAUUAUCCAACAAUAUAAAUAGUAGACAUAAAUUCAAAGAAAAAAAUUUAGGGUUUAGCUGGAAGAUUACCUCUCAAAUUCGACUAAAAUAAAUAAACAGAAUUUAACUCGGAGAUUACCUCUCAAAUUUAACUGAAAUAUGAAACAUACUCAAUAAUAAAGGUAACAAUUCAAAGGUAUGAAGCUACAUAAAUUCUUAGUUAUGUCUUUGAAAUAUUUUCAUAAAGGCAUGUGCAAAAACUUUUUGAUUCUAAACAAAUUCAUUGUCUCAAUAUUACUUAUUUAAAAUCAAAUCCACGUUUAUUUUUAAACAACUUCCAACAAUGUAUUUGGCUUGUAAUACCCAAUUUUAGCUCGGGCUCACAUAUGGAAACAUAAUCUUCAAGGAUAUGUAAUCUUAGAUAUGAUAUGUGCAAUCUUGGAUAUGAUAUGUGCAAUCUUGGAUAUGAUAUGCAAUCUUAGAAGAUAUGAUUUUGUAAUAUUAGAGAUUUAAUUUGUAGAUACCCUUUAAUCUUAGCCGUUGAUGUAAUUGGUCUGUACCGUUGGAUUUGGGGAGGCUCAACUAUAAAUAGAGGCCUCUCCCUUUAUUGUAAAGGGGGGAGAAAAAACAAUAAAAAAGGGAGAACGAUUGGCAGUUUUUUAAAGGUGACUUACUGUUUUUUUUUCAAUUAUUUAUUUAUGAUUUUAAAAAAGGAAGAAGGUGAUACCACUACGAAUUUUAUUUAUUUAUUUUUAUUUAGCCCUAAUAAAGUGACGCGUUUCAAAGGAUGGGAAUAUUUUUCCAUUCGAGGCCUAUGAGUUAUUCGCGCCUUUUAAUUGGGCCCUACAUUUUUUUCCCUUUAAUUAUGUUUUUGUUGCAAUUUAAUCCCUUUUGUAUUUGUGCUUUUACUAAUUAAUUGAUUAUUAUUAUUAUUUAUUAAUCCUAUUAUUAUUUCUACUAUUAUUGUUAUUAUUAUUUUCAUUAUUUCUUCUUAUCAAUUUACUUAAAUUUCAUGCGCAUAGCUUUAUCUUACUUUGUAUUUUAAUUUAUAUUACUAUUAUAUGUCAUUAUUUAAUUUUAUAAUAUAUUUUUCCUAUUCCUUUUAUAUAUUUGCCUCCAAAUAUGGUAUAUCUUCAACGAUUUUGGUUUUAUUUUUUAUUCAUUUAAAUAUAUUUCUAUAUUUUAAUAGAUUUAUAUAAUAAUAUUUUUUUACAAUACCAUGCUUUGUAUAUAUACAUGAUUGAUAUUAAAUUAUUCUUGUUAUAAAUUAUAGAUUUCAUUUUCGUCUUAUUACCAUAUAUAACUUUCCUCUUAAAAAACUAUUUUAUUAUAUUUUACCUAUUUUAUUGUAUUUCGUUUACUUCAAAUUCUUUUUACAUAUAUUAUUGUAUAUUAUUAUAAAGUCUUCUACUUUUCUAAAUAUACGUAUUUUACAUAUAUCACUUUUUUUCCCUAUUUAUUGCCAAUAUGGUGCAAGAUUGUUGUACUUGUUAUUGCGACAUUAUUACACACAUUCAGUAUCACAUUACAUCAUCUUCUUAUUCAAAUUUAAAAAAAAUAGGAAUUUUAAAAAUUGAGAUAAUGCUCGUAUUUAGGAUUUUCAAGGAAAUUGAGCCCUAACGUACAUUGGGUUUCGAUUUUUUUUGUUAAAUCUAACGAUCGAGAGUUGCUCAUUAAUCAUAAAAAAAAUAAAAUGAAAAGCUUGUUGUCGGGAAUUUAAUAUGUUGUGUCCUAACGUAUUGGAUGUGAUGUAUUUUUUUCUCGAUACAAAGAUUUUUUUUUAAAUAAUAACAAAGGAAGUAUUCCAAGUUUAGGAUUUUGAGAAAUUGUGCCCUAACGUAUUGGCCCGCGAUUUCUUAAAUCUUAAACAAAUGAAUAUUCUUUUAAAUUUUAUCGCUCGAGUAUUUUGGCCUAAUUCAUUUUUGAGGGAUUAGAAUGUCGUGCCCUAACGCAUUGGGUGUGACAUUUUUUUUCCUCCGAAAUGAUAAGAGUCUUAAUAAGUAACGUUUUUAAGUUUUUGCUAAGGAUUAUAUUUUUCAAAAUUUUUGACAUUAAGACACUAAUUAAUUAACUAGGUACCAAUUUUAGGCGUUACGAGGGUGUUAAUCCUUCCUCGUACGUAACCGACUCCCGGAUCCAUUUUUCUAAAACUCGUAGACCAAAUCUAUUUUUUUAGGUGAUCCAAUCACACCUCAAUAAAAUAUUGGUGGCAACUCCCAAUUUUUUGUUUUUUAAAAGUCGACAAAUAAAUUUUUGUUUUUCAAAAAAAUGGUUUCGACAUGGCUCAUCCAACAAAUUAUUUUUAAACAACAUUUAUUUAAAAAGAACCAAAUGAGAAUCAUUAUACAACUUUAUAAAGUCGAUGACACAUCCAACAUUUAAAGCACAAAGAAACUAGAUAGGCCAACAACAACAAAAAUAAUACCAACAUUCUCAAAUAUCGCAACAAAUUUGUUCUAAAAACAAAAGAUAGCGCAUCUCACCUAGAGCGUAGAAAUACUUAGAUUCAAUCAUUGUAACAACGAAAAAGGAAACAAGACAUCUAACAUCCUCAUCACAAUUGAUUCUCCUCUGACCCUCCAACAGCGUCUGCAUUAAUGCAAUAAAACAAGAAGAGGCUAUUGUGAUAGCAACUCUUAUAAAUAUUCCAAAAUUAACUUUUAGAUGCAUCAGGUCUUAAUCUAAGGCAAAGGGUUUAUCCAAACAUGAAAAAUCUAACCAACUCAAUUCAAUUCAACCCAACCUCAACCUAUCUAUGUACUUUACUUUUAAUUUAUAUGUAAUUUCAAUUAUGGUUUAAUUUAAAUAUUUUUUAACAAAAAUUUUAAAUACUUAAUAUUGAACAAAUAGCGAUAUUAAUGAAAAUUUGUAAUUAUGAACAAUAACUUAACACAUAGGUAGGUAAAAGUGUUUUUUUUUUACUUAAUAAUAUUAUUAGCAUUAGUACGUUAUUAAUUGUAUAUGAAAAUAGUGAAGCUUAAAAGUUAAAUUUUAAAGGUAAUGUCAUUGUCAAAUUUACUCAAAAUUUAUUUUUAACUAUAGUUAUCUAUGUACAUAUGUGACACACAUAAUAAGAUGCUAAUAUAUAUGUAAGGCACACUACACCAAAACAGGUUUUUAGCGGCAUUUUUUUAUGCCUUUAGCGGCGCUUUUUAGCGUUGCUAAAAGUAUUUGUGGCGUUUUUGGAAGCGCCGCAAAAAAUGCCGCUGUUCUCAACGCCGCAAACGUUUGUGGCUUUUUUAUAAAUAAACGCCGCUAUAGAUUAAGACCUUUAGCGGCGCUUUUUCAACAAACGCCGUUAUAGAUCAGGAUCUUUAGCGGCGCUUUUUUACAAACGCCGCUAUAGCUCAAGACCUUUAGCGGCGCUUUUUCAAAAAACGCUGCUAUAGAUUACGACCUUUAGCGGCGUUUUUUUCACAAACGCCGCUAUAGCUCAAGACCUUUAGCGACGCUUCUCGCAAAAACGCCACUAAAAACAUAACAUUUAAAAAAAGUAUUUUAAUCAAAUAAUAUUUAUUUUUAUGAUAAAUAUUAUAUUAUGUUUUAUUUUUUAAAUUUGAACUUUAAAUAUACUUUUAAGGAUAAAAAGUAUUAUUUAAUAGAAAAUUUUAACUUUAAAACUAAAUAUAAAAAUUAAUGAAUUUAGUUUUAGAAUUUAAAAUAAUAAAUUAAUAACACAAUUAAAAUCCAAAAGUUAGAACUCAAGUUGUCGUAAAUAUUAAAGUAAUAUUUACACAUUGCAAGGUAAUAAAAAAUACAAUGCAUUUUCUUAAUCAAGUAAAUCUUGGUAAUAAAAAAUACAAUGCAAACUACAUCUGCUACAUUCCUGGUUAUCCAAUCUUCAUGUACCCUGCAGAAUUGGGAAAAUAAUUAUAGUGCAUUAAAACAAAAAUUGAUAUUGACAAGUUAAAUGUGAAAGGAAAACAACAUGAAUGCAAAAAUUAAUACUCGAGGAAAUUGACAACUUAGCUAUCUCAACCAUGGAAAUGAAUUAGAUAUUGAAUAAGAGAGAUUACAGCAAUGAAACCAAUGAAUUCCUAGUUUACAUAUGUAUGUGCCACUGGACUUGUUAAGUGAAGAAUGAGAACCAAAUUUUUUUCAAUGACUACAGGACAUAAGACCAAGAGCAUCAAAAGUUUCCAAACAUGAAACAACUAAUCUAUUAAGCAAGUCAGAAAAUCAACGAGCUUAUUGUUUUAGCUAAUAGUGGAACAAGGAGACAAUUGAGAUCAAUUGAGACUAACCUCGGCUGAGAUGCAGAAGUUUCACGACAAUCAGAAAAGAUCACCUUGAUAUACUUAUAAUCUUCGCACCAUAAAUAAUCAAAGUAAUAAUCAUCGAUAUUAUUCACCUUGUUGCCUAACCUCACAUAAUAAUCAAAAUAAAUUUUAAAACCGCUCAAAAAUUUUAAAUAGAUUACAUCAACAUAUAUUGAGCAUAGCAACCUUCUAAAGAGAAAAUCAAACAAAUCAACUAAACGAACAUAGAAAAAUUGAUGCUUCAAACCAAAACACCAGAAUUUACUUUACCUCCAUCCCAUGGGGUGUCAUCAAGUCUGCAAAUCCAUCAAGUAAAGACAUUAGCACAAUUUAAUAGAACUUUAAUCUAAAAAGAAAGUACAUAAAGAUUCUCUAGUCUUAUUUCAUAAUAUACCCAAAUAUAACAGCAUUCCAAAGCAUAAUGUUGUUAUCUUGAGGUGCACCACUAAUUCCUGCACAAAAUAAAUGAUAAAAAAGGCCACAGUUCUUUAGCAUAAACAGCAAACAAAUUAGAUGAAAACCGGACUUCUACAACUAAACCGAGUUGUAGUAACAGUAUCCAAACGCCGCUAAAAGCCUGUUUUGGUGUAGUGGCAAAAUAUUAUAAAGUUAAACAGUGAGAUAAUGAAGUGAAAUGUCUCUAACCUUAUGCAAUUUUGAACUUGUUAUAGUAACAGUAUCCAAUGAUGCACUUGGCUUAUCAUUAGAGUUCUCAUAGCUAUGAACCUCCAUUGAUGUUUCAAGAGGAAGUUGAUGGAAUGGCUUAGGAGACAUCACAAGGAGUUCAACAUCAGAUUCAAGCAUCUUCAAAACUUUACUCAUUGAAGGACGAUCAGAAGGCAGUAAUUGUAUACACCAAAAGGCUAUUAUUACCAUUUUCUUUACCAUUGCUUUUUCAUCGUCAGAAACAUCUCCCAACUCCAAGUCCUUUCCUUGAUCUAAUCGGUCAUAAAUCCAAGAUGGAAACUAUAUUUGACUAGUGUGGUCAGCAAAUGCAUUCACAUUCUUUCUCCUUCCAACCAUUUCCAUCAGUAACAUUCUAGAACUAUAAAUGUCAGCUUUGUAUGAGAUGCCUCCAAGAUUUUUGUAAACCAAUUCAGGAGCAAUAUAUCCUAUCGUUCCUCGUGCCGCAGUGAGAGAGACAAUGCUGUCAUCUACUGAAUACAAUUUAGCAAGACCAAAAUCAGAAACUUUUGGAUUAAAAUUCUCAUCAAGAAGAAUAUUGUGUGGCUUGAUAUCAAAAUGUAGAAUUUGCAUGUCACAUCCUUGAUGUAAGUAGUGAAUUCCUUGAGCCACCCCAAGUACAAUAUCAAACAUUUUUUCCAGCCCAAAGUGUUCUUAUUUUCUUCUGUAAAUAUGAUUUUAUCUAAAGAUCCAUUAGACAUGAAGUCAUAUACCAGAGCUUGCUUUGAUCCCUCCACACAAAAUCCGAUAAGUUUUGCCACGUUAGCAUGAUGAAUUGUCCCAAUGGAAGCAACUUCAUUUAUGAAAUCUUGGCCAUUACCCUUUGACUUGCCCAACAAUUUUAUUGCCACAUGAUGCCCACUACGAAGCUUUCCUUUAAACAAUGAGCCAUAACCUCCUUCACCUAAUUUAUCUUUAAAAUUUUUAGUCAUUUUUUUAACUUCUUUAAAAGAAUACCUUAUCGGCACUAGAUUAUUUUGGCUUUGAAGGAACUCUUCAAUUGUAUCAUCCAUAGAUAAAUGUCUUCUUCUCCAUUCGUACGUGACAAGAGCAAACAAACAAAUUAUCUCAGGAAAUGACCUCAAAAAGAUAACUCCACCUUUAAAGAAAUACAAUGUAACACGUUGAAAUUAAUCACAUAAUAUAUAACUUACAUUCUCAGAAAAAAGGAUAUAGUGUGAUAGUUUUAUGUUAACUAGUAUUUGAGAGAGUGGCAUAUUUCACUAGUCUAUGGACUUAAUCGAGAGUAGUCUGAAUUAUAUGUUAUGUUUUGGUCAUUAGCAGGUAUAUCUCAACAAAUUAAAAUUCAGAAUUUCAAACACAAAAGGAGUAAAUCAUGCGAAGUGGAUACCAAUUAUUCUAACCUCACACAUUCCAAUAGAUUUGACAGGGUCAUGACAUUCACCCAAAUUAACACAUUCGUAACCCCGUCCAAUUAGCAAAUUCUAAAGAAAGCACAUGUUUCUUAACCAUGAAGGAUACUCAACGGUUGUCUCUAUUCAUGCCAAAUAAACUUGAGGAUGGACAAAUUAAAAAAUUAAUUAAACUGAAUUUUAGUAUUUUUAUUUUAAUAAUUUAUUUAAUCAAUAAGAUUAAUUAGAAUUAGAGGUGUUCAUGGGCCGGGCGGCCCGGCCCGGCCCGGUCCGGUCCAACAGCCCGUCCGAAAUAUGGGAGGGUUUGGGUAAAAAUAUAGGCCCGAAAUAUGGGCUUGGGCAAAAAAACGAGGCCCGAUUAAAAAACGGGCCGGGCCUCGGGCACAACUUUUUUUGGCCCGGGCCUGGCCCGGCCCGAAUAUAAUAAAUAUUUUAUUAUUUUUUUAAUUUUAAAAUACUUUAAAAAUACUUUUAUUAAAUUUUUUAAAUUUUAAAAUUUUUUUAAAAUGCUUUUUUAAUUUUUUUAAUUUUAAAAUAUUUUUAAAAUACUUUUUUUAAUUUUUAUUUUAAUUUUUAAAAUAAAUUUUUGGUAUUUAUUUAAAAAAUAGGAUAGGCCCGGGCUACAAAAUUUUUUCCUGGGCCCGACCCGAACCCGACCCAUGAGCACCUCUAAUUAGAACAAUGAACCAAUGAUUUAAAUUUCAUCAUAAUCUAACUCUAAAAAUUGUGGAUUUGAGCGCUCCCAAAUUUUCCUUCGCUUUCUCUCUCUCUCUGUUCUUCAACAUCGUGUUUAGAUCCGUCCCUCCCAGCCUUGAAAGAUUCCGUCUUUGACCCUUCUUCGUUGAAUCUAUCAAACAAAUUAGGGUUCCGAUCUGUUACCUGUUGUGUUCGUUUAAAAUUUUUUUUUCUUUGCCUCAAAAUUUCAUCUUCAGAAAGAGAGAGAGAGAGAGAGAGUUUUCGAUUUUCCUUGAUUUUGCUUGAGAUUUAUGUUCUAAUCUGAAAUUCAUUACCUUAAUGAUUUGCUAUAUCGGUUCGAUCUCCAUUACGAUUGCUUGCUUUUUGUAUCGGAUUUGGGGUUAAAUCCAAGCUUGCGUGUUUUUACAUUAAAUCAGUAACCAUCGGCUCAAACUCUACCCCUCUUUCUAUCUGGAAAAUUUUUACAUUAAAACAAACGGAGUUUGAAAGUUAAAAAUUGACAUUCCAUUGAGUUUAAGUUUGAAAGUUUGGCUCAACUCACCGAUUACAGCCGCUUACAUGAAGUAGAAGCCCUUAUUACAUCAAUACAUCUGUGUGUGUGUUUUUUUCCGCUUCCUCUUCUUUCUUUUGGCCUUUUUUUUCCUCUAAAAGCCGCACCUACAGCUUACUCCGUUCCCUGACAUUUGCCCUUAAAAUUACACUGAAAAUGCCCACAUGUUCCCCAAACUUCAUAUAUUACUCAAGUUUCGAUUCCUUGUCUCCGCAUCGAACCGCCACUUUACACAGUCAAACUCUGUGUUACGAAUUACCGCCUGCGCCACCUAUUGGACGAUAUGCCCAAACCAAGUUGAAAGCCCGAAUGAAGAAGCUAUAGAGCAUCCGAGAGUCUCCAUCGAUAUUUUCAACCAAUGGGGUUGCUGUGAAAACGAUUUGUUGAAGAUCUUUUCACGCCAACCUUCUUUGCGCAACGCUCAAGCUACUCCCCUUUUAUCCAAACUCAACUUGCUGAGUAGCUUGGGACUCACCGGUUCCGACAUUGUCAAGAUGGUCAAUUGUCGUCCUCGUUUCUUUUGUUCUCGUAUCAAUAAUUGCUUCGACGAGCGGAUUGAGUUCCUCGUUAACCUGUUCGGGUCGCGAGAAAUGCUUCGUAAAGCACUUGUUAGGAACCCUUCCCCCUUGACCUAUGAUUUUCACAAUGCCAUGAAACCAGUCAUUGCAUUGUACGAAGAGAUUGGCAUUAGAGGAAAUGAUUUGAUUGCUAUGCUCAUCUCACGUCCCACAUUGAUCCCAAGGACUUCUUUCAAUGAGGAGAAGAUGGAAUACAUAAAGAAAACAGGGGUUUCAAAAGGUUCCAAAAUGUACAAGUACAUAGUUUCACUCAUCGGAAUAUCGCGGAUCGAGACUAUACGUGAAAAGGUGACUAACUUGGAGAAAUUCGGAUGUUCAGAGGAAGAGAUUUGGAGUUUGUUGGGACGUUAUCCUCUUAUUUUGACACUUAUUUUGAAACUCUCGGUUGAUAAGGUUCAAAGGAACAUGACCUUUGUUUUGGGAACCAUGAAGCUGUCUCCAAGAGUGGUGCUUGAGCACCCCUUUUCUUGUUGUUCAGCAACCUCGAAGCCGUAUCGAAACCGCGGAUAUCGUUGGCUAGGAAACUAAAGGAAAUGGAGCUUGAUCCGCAGAUUAAAGGACCGAUCAUGUUGGCGGCAUUGAGGAUGACGGAAAAUCGAUUCUUGAAUGUGUUUAUUAAAUGCCAUCCGCAAGAUGUAGCAAAUGAACUGUUGGAGUUCUAUAAACAUGCCAAAGGUCUCAAGCCAUUGGCCGAAUCAUCGAAAAAAAUACUGCGUAAAGGAUUUCCAUUUUGAACAUUUUCGUUUGUUUGUUUGGUGCUGUCUUCGUUUUCUUUUUGUUCAUUCAUGCCAAGGGAUAUUUCGAUUAAAUUUUCAGAUUUAUAACUUUUAUUCUCAAAGGGAUAAUGUGAGACUCAAAAUUUUGGGAUAUAAAAAGGGAUGCCUCUUCGUGUUUCAUUGGUGUUCUCUCUCUGCUUAUAUUCCUUUUACUCCCCGUGAUGAAGAGUUGAAAUUUUUUCUAUGUAUGAUGGCUGGAGGGAAUAUAGAUUAUGGAACUCCACCAUUAUUAACUUUGUAGGCUCAAUUGGCACCAUUGUUGUGGUGCAACUAGAAAUAUGUGGGUUAAAACGUGUUUAAAGGCGUAUUUUCUUUUUAUUUAAGAGUUUAAAGGAGAUUAUAAUUUGUGAACAGUAAUUUUUUAAGGUAAAUCUUAUUCUAUAUAUUUUGACCGAUGAUUAUUUUUAUCCUUAAUAUAAAUUUGUGUUAAUUUUGGUUUGGAUGAUGUUUAUUAUUAUUUUUAAUUACUUUUCAAUGCGGAUAAAAUCUUGCACCAAUUAAAAUUCAUAUAUUAUUAUUAAAAAAGAUAAAUAAACAAAUUAAAUCUUUUUAAACUUCUUAUUUAUUUUCAAAGUUUAUUAAAUAGUAUUAUUUUAUUUUAUAUAAUUAAUGUAAAGUAAUAUAUGGGGCAAAAUAAUAUAAAGCUAAAAUGAAGUGAAAUGUUUCAAACCUCAUACAAUAUUUGAACUUGUUAUCGUACCAAUAUCCAAUGAUUUACUUGACUCAUCAUUAGAGUUCUCACAUGAUGUUUCAAGAGGAAGUUGAUGGAAUGGCUUAGGAGGCAACUCAGGGAGUUCAACAUCAGAUUCAAGCAUCUUCAAGACUUUACUCAUUGAAGGAUGAUUAGAAGGCAAUAAUUGUAUACACCAAAAGGCAGUUAUUCAUCUUCUUCACCAUUACUUUUUCAUCGUCAGAAACAUCUCCUAGCUCUAUGUCCUCUCCUUGAUUUAAUCGGUCAUAAAUCCAAGAUGGAAAAUAGAUCUGACUAGUGUGGUCAGCAAAUGCAUUCACAUUCUUUCUCCUUCCUACCAUUUCCAUCAGUAACAUUGCAAAACUAUAACCAAUUCAGGAGCAAUAUAUCUUAUCGUUCCUCGUGCCGCAGUGAGAGAGACAAUGCUAUCAUCUACUGAAUACAAUUUAGCAAGACCAAAAUCGGAAACUUUUGGAUUAAAAUUCUCAUCAAGAAGAAUAUUGUGUGGCUUGAUAUCAAAAUGUAGAAUUUGCAUGUCACAUCCUUGAUGCAAGUAGUGAAUUCCUUGAGCCACCCCAAGCACAAUAUCAAACAUUUUUUUCCAGCCCAAAGUGUUCUUAUUUUCUUCUGUAAAUAUGAGUUUAUCUAAAGAUCCAUUAGACAUGAAGUCAUAUACCAGAGCUUGCUUUGAUCCCUCCACACAAAAUCCAAUAAGUUUUGCCACAUUGGCAUGAUGAAUUCUACCAAUAGAAGCAACUUCAUUUAUGAAAUCUUGGCCAUUACCUUUUGACUUACCCAACAAUUUUAUUGUCACAUGAUGCCCGCUACGAAGCUUUCCUUUAAACACUGA
Molecule: long non-coding RNA, 38550 nt
Filed under: Gossypium barbadense (sea-island cotton)
Lineage: Eukaryota; Viridiplantae; Streptophyta; Magnoliopsida; Malvales; Malvaceae
Description: long non-coding RNA (GBAR_LNC013160)
Source: RNAcentral